This 200-nucleotide ribosomal RNA is filed under the name uncultured bacterium. Its description in RNAcentral is "partial 16S ribosomal RNA". It matches the Rfam family "Bacterial small subunit ribosomal RNA", at positions 8 to 210 of the family's 1533-position model. The record is from RNAcentral.
AGAGUUUGAUCCUGGCUCAGGACGAACGCUGGCGGCGUGCCUAAUACAUGCAAGUCGAGCGGAUCGUUCCUUUGGGAACGGUUAGCGGCGGACGGGUGAGUAACACGUAGGUAACCUGCCUGUAAGAUCGGGAUAACGACCGGAAACGGUAGCUAAGACCGGAUAACUGUAUCUGACGCAUGUCGGAGAUAUGAAACAUG